GACGAACGCCGGCGGCGUGCUUAACACAUGCAAGUCGAACGGUAAGGCUCCAGCUUGCUGGGGUACACGAGUGGCGAACGGGUGAGUAACACGUGGGUGACCUGCCCUGCACUUCGGGAUAAGCCUGGGAAACUGGGUCUAAUACCGGAUAGGACCGCACCGUGAGGGUGUGGUGGAAAGUUUUUUCGGUGUGGGAUGGGCCCGCGGCCUAUCAGCUUGUUGGUGGGGUAAUGGCCUACCAAGGCGGCGACGGGUAGCCGGCCUGAGAGGGUGGACGGCCACAUUGGGACUGAGACACGGCCCAGACUCCUACGGGAGGCAGCAGUGGGGAAUAUUGCACAAUGGGCGGAAGCCUGAUGCAGCGACGCCGCGUGGGGGAUGACGGCCUUCGGGUUGUAAACUCCUUUCACCAUCGACGAAGGGUUUCUGACGGUAGAUGGAGAAGAAGCACCGGCUAACUACGUG
Molecule: ribosomal RNA, 465 nt
Filed under: uncultured bacterium
Lineage: Bacteria
Description: partial 16S ribosomal RNA
Rfam family: Bacterial small subunit ribosomal RNA
Source: RNAcentral